UAAACUCCUUGCUACAGAGAUAGACCUCCCACAUUAUGUGUGCACAUGUAUUAGUUAAAGUGCAUAGGUAUGUGUUCUUGCACUGAUUACAACAGUCAUGCGUGGUUUGGCUGACCGCAUCGAAGGCGAUAAGGAGAUGAUCUUUCCUGGGCACAAAACAAACAUGAGGAGGAAGAGAACCAGGACAGGAAGAGGUGAUUGGAUAUAAAGGUACAAGGCCUGUGGAUGCAGCAGUGUUCGUCCAGUCACGACUCCAACGGCCUUCUGGGUAGUCUGGCAGGCCAGGGCUGGACAGCUGAAACUGCCUCCUGGUUAAACUAAAGCUGGAUGCCCUACUUCUGGACGGCCUCUAGAAGUGGAAGCUGUUUCUCAGGGGAGCUGAGCUACCCUGUUUCCUCAAGCAGUAAAAGCUGCAAAGGGAGACCCAAAUAAGAACAUGACAUAUUGUGUCAUUGAUAUCUGAAUUUGGUAAGGAGAUACAUCUUGCUCAAUCAAUUUCCUAAGACUUGACUUGACAAAUUUACAAACGUCUCGCAAAACCAGUGACUGGUCAGUUCACUUGGACUUCAAAUACUUUAUACCCUCUCACACCAAUGCCAGGGUUGGCCCACAGCAGAGCAGACAUUCAGGCCAAUAUUCAAACGGUAGACCCACUUGAAGCUUAGUAUGACUUGAUGUGCUUUUGAAGUGAUUAUUGUAACUUUAUGGCAGGACUUUUCAUGUUACUAUGAAAUUCAAAAUUGGAGUGAUUCCUCAUUGCAUAAAAACACAUUUUAUAGGAUGUACUGUAUAAACAAUAUUGUUGUGUGUUGUGUUGUGGAGUUUUGGUGUACACCAGAGUAUGGCUGCCCAUUUGUUACUUUAAGUUUAGAAAAGUAGUAUCAUCUUUGAUUUGUUCAUUUGAUAUAGUUAAUUAAUUAAUAAUUGCCUUGUUGCUGUAUUUUUAAUUUAGUGACAAAUGCAUUAAGACUUGUUUGUAACUUGAAAGCCAAAUAAUAAGGAAUUGGGGCUUGAGGUGAAAAUUAAAUGAAACCAGGGAGCUCUAGCAGAACGAAGGUCUUCCUAUAAUGUUUCCAUGUUGGCUCACUACAUGCUGACACAAAGAUUGUUGUA
Long non-coding RNA from Dicentrarchus labrax (European seabass), 1113 nucleotides. RefSeq lists it as uncharacterized. The transcript is spliced from 3 exons. The record is from RefSeq and is a predicted model, not a curated record. Lineage: Eukaryota; Metazoa; Chordata; Actinopteri; Moronidae.